RNAcentral lists this transfer RNA (51 nucleotides) under Psychrobacter sp. RNAcentral's name for it is "tRNA-Ser". It matches the Rfam family "tRNA", at positions 25 to 71 of the family's 71-position model. From Rfam's summary of the family: Transfer RNA (tRNA) molecules are approximately 80 nucleotides in length. The record is from RNAcentral. Lineage: Bacteria; Pseudomonadati; Pseudomonadota; Gammaproteobacteria; Moraxellales; Moraxellaceae.
AACUGACUUGUAAUCAGUAGGUCGCCAGUUCGAUCCCGGCAGUCGGCACCA